This is a small nucleolar RNA of Bos grunniens (domestic yak), 146 nucleotides long. Lineage: Eukaryota; Metazoa; Chordata; Mammalia; Artiodactyla; Bovidae. The record is from Ensembl.
GCUGCCCAUUGUUAGAGCUUGAAGUUGAAGCCACUGGCUGGUGAACUCACAAGUGUAGGUAGGGUGCUAUGUGAGGGGAAGCUUUUCACUAACACCACAAGGGUCUCUGGCCCGAGUGGAGUUUGAUAGUAGCAUUUGCUAUGAAA